RNAcentral lists this ribosomal RNA (572 nucleotides) under uncultured bacterium. Its description in RNAcentral is "bacterial SSU rRNA". It matches the Rfam family "Bacterial small subunit ribosomal RNA", at positions 56 to 624 of the family's 1533-position model. The record is from RNAcentral.
UGCAGUCGAACGGCAGCACGGAGCUCGCUCUGGUGGCGAGUGGCGAACGGGUGUGUAAUAUAUCGGAACGUACCCUAGAGUGGGGGAUAACGUAGCGAAAGUUACGCUAAUACCGCAUACGAUCUAAGGAUGAAAGUGGGGGAUCGCAAGACCUCAUGCUCGUGGAGCGGCCGAUAUCUGAUUAGCUAGUUGGUAGGGUAAAAGCCUACCAAGGCAUCGAUCAGUAGCUGGUCUGAGAGGACGACCAGCCACACUGGAACUGAGACACGGUCCAGACUCCUACGGGAGGCAGCAGUGGGGAAUUUUGGACAAUGGGCGAAAGCCUGAUCCAGCAAUGCCGCGUGAGUGAAGAAGGCCUUCGGGUUGUAAAGCUCUUUUGUCAGGGAAGAAACGGUGAAAGCUAAUAUCUUUUGCUAAUGACGGUACCUGAAGAAUAAGCACCGGCUAACUACGUGCCAGCAGCCGCGGUAAUACGUAGGGUGCAAGCGUUAAUCGGAAUUACUGGGCGUAAAGCGUGCGCAGGCGGUUUUGUAAGUCUGAUGUGAAAUCCCCGGGCUCAACCUGGGAAUUGC